ACUCCUGAGCGCAAAUGAUCCGCCAGCCUCGGCCUCCAGAGUGCGUGAGCGACCGCGCCCAGUCCCCGAUUAUUCGUGAUUCUUAAGCCCUUCUCCAAAAGGUUUCUCUACAGCAGGUCCUGGUAGAGCUUGAGCCACCAUCUUUCAGAAGCUUCCUCAAGUGAUUCUGAUAUCACUGAUCCAAAGACCCCCAUGAGGGAACUGCUAUAUAAGAGGACUCCAGCCUGACCUAAGAACUUGACCUUUUGGGUCUAAAGAUUCUUGCCUUGACUUGGUCUUAACCCUCUGCAGCCAAUCAACCCAAAUCUACAUCCACAUUGAACUUGUUAGCAUUUCUUUCACUAUUUAAAUGGUUUUGUUCAAACCUAGGUUUGUUCUUCCUUCAGACUUAUUCCAGACAUUCUCUCUCUCUCUCUCUCUCUCUCUCUCUCUCUCUCUUCUCUCUCUCUCUUCUCUCUCUCUCUCUCUUCUGUGUCUAGGGCUUUUGUAACCAAGUACCACAACCAAGUGGUUUAAAACAACAAAAACGUAUUCUUUUCACAGUUCUGGAAGCUUAAAGUCCAAAAUCAAGAUGACAGCAGGCCCUUGCUCCCUCUGAGAACUGCAGGGGAGUUCUCCUCACCUCUUCCCAGCUUCAGGUGGUUUGCAGGCAAGCUUUAGCCUCCCCAGGCUGGAACCACUCCAAUCUCAUCUGCACACGCUUUCUCUGUCUUUCACUUCUCUUCCUUCUGUACUGGUCUGUCUCUGGGUCCAAAUUUCCAUUUUUUUAAGGUCACCAGUCAUAUGGGAUUAGUUCCUACCUUAAUGACUUCAUUUUAACUUAAUUACCUCUGUAAGAAUCCCAUUUCCAAAAAUAAGCUCACAUUCAGAGGUACUGGGGUUAGGACUUCAACGUAUCUUAUUCGGGGAACACAAUUCAUCCGUUAACACUCUUCUCAGUCCUUGCUAACAUUGUUCUCUUAUUUACUUAAUUAUCUAUAAAAGCAAAGCACUCUGUUAACUAAAGGGUCAACGUUGUUUGAUUACAACUAAUCCAUGUUGACUCCAUUAGUGUUAAGGUAAUUUAAAUGACUGUUUAGCACUUUACUAAAUGUUUAAUAAAAUUAGUAAUUAAUUCUCAUGAAAUAAAAUGGCUCUCUUGCUACAACAUGAAAUGUGAUGGAAAUCACUUUUCCUAUUGAAUUUGAUACUAUAGAACCUGGCUUACUGGGACAGAAUACAAAAAUAUAAGGAUUCAUAUUUUUACAUAACUAACAUUAAAAUGGUAACCUUGCUCUUAACCUCACAGAAAAAAAAUCUAUUUAAUAAUCAUCAUUUCUUGGUACAUCUUUAUUAUUACUAGUGAUUCCAGCUCCAUUUUUUUUUAUUAUUUUUACUUUUUUGUUGAAAUACUAAGCUCUGCUUUUUAAAGCAAGUUGAUUCUUUCUGGCCUCUUCUUCUAUAUCCUUUGCUGGCUCCUUGUUCUCUACUCACUUUGUGUUAAGUCCCAUUUUCAGUACUAGUCUCAUAUAUACACUCUUUCUCGAAGCAAUCUCAUCCAGGGCUUUUAAGUACCACUAUUGUUCAUGAUUCCCAAUUCUGAAUAUUCAGCCCAAUCUUGUCCUCUGGGUUCCAAACUCAUGAAGUUGACACUUACUUGACCUCAAGUGGCAGGAUCUUACAGUAUCUAAAACAGAACCCUUAUGUCUCCAAACACUUCUGCUCAGCAUAUACACACAUGCAUGCACACACACACAAUCCCCCCCUUUUAAGAAAAAGAGCUGUUAAAAUUAAAACUAUGUUAAAGCAAAAGCACCAGUAAAUAUACAUAGUUAAAGAAAUGCACUUCUGUGUUCCCUGUCCAAUAUCUAUGACAGGUGAGCUGUGCAUUUCAUAGAACUCAGUUGAUAACGUGUUACCAACGCUACACCACCAUCCUUCAGACACCUCCUAACACAUUUUAUCUUAGCAUUAUAGGGUCACAGGUGGUUUAUCUCACAGAUGGUUUGAAUGUGGUAUGGAGAGAAAAUUAACAAAGCUUCAUUUCUACUAUGAGACACAAAAUUCUAGUUUUCAUUUGAGAGAAUGUUUUCUAAAAUAAACACAUAUGACCCAUAUGUGUUAAAGACUGCUUAUUUUCUAUAAAUCUUUUAGAGUUUCUGUUACCAUAGGUAAGUCUAGUGAGAGUUUUGAGUUUUGUUGAACUGAUUAUUAUUUCUAACAGUAAUAUGACCUUCACCUAAAAGCGAUGCAAGGUGCAAUAAAUGUCCCAUGGUCAUAACAGCAUCCAGAGACAAAGUUUUGUUGAAAUGCCUUCAAGUCUGAUUGCUGGGCUGUUGGAAGAUGUCUAAAGCUUUGUUGGAACAAUGCUGCCAAAAUAAGUUCAAUGCUUCACUGAAGCUACUCUCAGAAGAUGGCUCUGAAAUGACAUGCGGAAUGUUAGACUUUAAAAACACACAAUUAAGGCUCACUUAUAUAUGAUAACUAAAAAUAAUGUACUAAAAGUAUAUGAUCAGGUCUUAUGUCUAGAUUAUACAUAUCUAAUGAUAGAAUAUACAUUACUAUAAAACAAGCAAAAACAGAAGUAUCUACACAAAUGUGUAUUUAAAGGCUCUUGGAUGACUUGAUGGAUUUGUAACAUAGUAAUGAAUUGCUUUUUUAAAAAAAGAUUUAUUUCACACAGUUUUCUAUGGGCUUGUAUUCCUGCUUGUUGCUUUCUCUUUAAGUUUGUCUGGCAAAAUCAGGACUAGGAAUGUAAAAUAUGGGGUGAACACACAAAUUUUCUUGGGGGUAGAAGCAUGAAGGAAAAAGUAAGGAUGGAAGAUGGCUAGAGCAGUGGAAUGAAAAAAGGGAAAAGAAGAAUCAGAUGUUGCAAACCAAAGCUCAUCCACAGAUACCAGCCUGAAAUGAUCAUUUCUCUCCAAUUAGAUUUCCCAGUCUGAGUUUUCCCACUCUGAAGGGUAGUUUACAUGCAAUGACAAUAAGAUAAUUAAAACCCUUCAUUUGUUUUUGUUUUUUUUUAACUUUUAGGAAGAGCUAAUGUGCCAUCUAUUUAGUGACCUCAUAGUCAAGUCUUAGUCAUGAGCAUGUACACUGUCUUCAGCAAAUUUGCUCUCCAAAUAUUGUCCCCUUUUUACCCCCAAACUUGUUUACUGCUUCAUAACCUCCGUCUUUCGACAGCUGGUGGGAGCAGAGAACAACAUGAAAGGGGGAAAAAAGACAGCUGGCUUCAGUGGAAAGAAUACCAGAUCCGGGACACAGGGGCCUCCACCCUGUGGUCUGCUGGAGCAGGCUUAUAUGGGCUUGGAGAGUUGGCUUGCUAAGAUUUUUUAGGAAUUUUGUGAGCCAUAUGUUAAAUACAGCCAUUAUUAAACAUCAAAUUAUACAAACUUACAUUUAAAUCAGUCCUAUUAAAAACAGAGGUACUAAAGAGUUAAAACUUAUCUCUUCCUAAUUAUUUUAUUGUGUGUUUUACCUUAUCAAUGCUCUUGAGCUUAGUUAUGCCUAUUUUAUCUAUAUGAUAGAAAUACUAUAUAAAGGCAUCCUUGACACUGGACAAGGUGUGAGUUUUCACACUGAAGACUUUGGCAAAUACUGCAAAUCAAGGGAUGACACUGUUUUGUUGAUUAUCUAGACAUAAGAAAAUGAUGUAGAAACAUUUUUAACAAUAUAAAUCAAACCGCAAAGUGUGUCAUAUCUGCAGCCAUAACAUUAUCAAUAGCACAAAAGAAACUGAGGAAAUAAUUUUUGAGUAUUUGAAAACUAUUAACUAGGGUAGCAAAGAAUUUGUUUAUGUCAUUAAUGGAAUAAAGUUCCAAUACUGCCUUCCUUGUUUUACUUUCUUCUUUCUCCUUAAAGCAAGUAAAACUAUUAACCAGUAUUCAUAUCAGAACUACAGAACCAAGAGUUUGUCAAAUUCAACAAAAGGAUGCUGCUAGAAUUAAAUGGCUAUAUAGAAUUCACACUGAAGAGUAUCACAAUGUUAUUCUCAAUAUUAUUUUUCAAUUUAUUGCUACACAUUCUGUAUAUAGAUAAUAUUAUCAUGUAUGAUAUUAUAAUGUAUCAUAUACAUAUAUGUUUUUGUUUUGCUUGAUAUCCAGUUGUUAAAUGUUUACCAUUACCCCAUUGUCUCUACCAUCCUAAAACCUAUCAAUUUUGGAAAAACUAUUUAACUCUAUGACUAUCAACUUCCUCAUCUGCAAACUAGUGAAAUAAGUACCUUCCUCAGAGGAUAAUUUUAGGGAACAAAAAUUUAUGUCAGAACUCUGUAUGGAUUGUAAAUAUUAGGUAUUAUUAUAAAUUCAAACAUGGUUCAGCUCCUAGUACGAAUGCUAAGAACUUGCAGGAUUUGCAAAGAUGAAUAAGGUUUGGUUCCUACCCUCAAGUAGACCACAGUCUAAUGGUGAGAAAUGUGUGUAAAUAGUUCAAAAUUAUUUAGGAGAGAACAAAAUAUUUUAUAACAGAGUAAAAAGCGAAGUACUAUAAGAUUAAAAGAAAAUAACUGAUUUUACCUAGAACACCAAAGAAGGCUUUAUAAAGAAGAUGGAAUUUCAAAAUAAGCUUCAGAAUAAGUUGCAUUUGUAUUAAUUGAGAAAAUGUACAUGGAAAGUGGAGGUAUUCUAGCCUGAUGGGUGAAACUUCAAAACCUUAUCAUUACAAAUAUUACAAUGCCAAGUCAGAAAAUCAAAAUUGUAUUGAUAAAUCUACUACAUAAAAAACCUUAUGUGUUAUUCCAAUGUAAAACAGAAAUAAUGCCUUUAUAUUAAUAGAUUAUACAAUCCAGUGUUCCUAUCCACAAUCUUAUGUCAUCAAAGUUUGAGUAAACAAUUAUUUAGUUUUUCCAACUUAUAAGCCAUGUCCAUUUCUGAAAACCAUAGUAUAAAUUAUUCCCUGGCCUUUUUUCCUUAGUGAAAGAAAACAUUCAUGUUGAUUUUUUAAAAUUAUUUUUCAAGAAUACUCUAUAAAGUAUGUUUAAGUUUUUCACAGGCCAUAAGGGACUAUCCAAUAGAUUCAAAGACAAGUAGCCACUGAUUUCCAAUAUAUGCAUACAUAAAUUAUGCACACAUUAUGUGAAAAAUGAAGAACAUAUCCAAGAGGUUCUUAUGGGAGACUGGAACACUAAGGCAAAAUAAAAGAGAAAAUACUCUAAAACCUUCUUGAUGUGAAAAAGGACUAACUAUUGAGGAACAUUAUUGCAUCCCGUGGGUAAUGAGCCUUGCAAGGGUUGACAUUACUCAGUAAAGUUUAUUGAAAGCUUUUUUCCUCUUGCUUGUCAAAAUAUGCUAGCUAACUGUUUGUGACCAAAAAAAAAAAAAAAAACAAAAAAAAACCACAAUGCUUCGAAGAAAGCUUGGCAGAACAUCUACAGAAUCUGUCUUAAGUGUAAUGAAAGGGAGAUGUCUAUUAAUUUCUCACACACACAAAAGUCUGACACAAAAGGUCUGUGGCCUUGACCUCAAGUGACCACAGGGCCAGUCCGGUUCCAAAGGGAUUAAGAAGAGCAUCUGCUCCUCUGAACGGCCCUUUUCUCUCUUCUCUGGUUUCUAACUUCCCAUUACACGCACUCUCUCCACAAGGCACCGCGCCAACGGAGCCCUUCACUCUGUUCUCUCCCUGAUGACAGCUGUCGUUCUGUCGCCGCCUGGACGUGCAACAUUUCCACAAAAUCUAAAGCGGAAUUGGGAGGGCAGGGGCCGAAACACGCAGCCAAGAUCUCCCUCCUGGAGGUCUGGGGCUCCUCAGCCACCACUUUUGAACCUGCUGAAGUAUGAACAGUUCCCUAAAUGUGUUUUCUCUGGUGUCUACCUCUUGGGAACUUCUUGGAGGAAGCAGAUUAUAAUCUUCUACACCUCCUCCUACAACUGGCUUAACUUCAUGACUAUCUGAUAGACAUUGCAAAAACAGUAUGCCAGCUCAGUUGGGGCAAACACAAGGUGUACACUGGAGCAAGAUUUGGACACACAUGUAUGAAGAUUUUGGAGCAUGCCUACGAAGGAUUGAGGAACCUUAGUACUGUCACAUCCCUGUUGAGACCACCCUUCUGGUUAGAAUUGGUUCACUUGUUAUGUGUUGCAAUGGAAGUCCUGGAAUGUUGGAGUGGGAAAAGGGGAAGAGGUAGAAGUUAUAAUUUUUCUAUUCUCCUACUCUCCAAAAAGAGGCAUACUUCUUGCUAUUACAAGCACUUUACAUCUUUGCAUUAAGAAAUGGCCUCCAGAGGGUUGUUUUAUUGGGAGAUUAAGAUGAGAAAGAAAUGGAAGAUGAAUACAUAGUGUGUGUGGGCUGGGGGAGUGUGUUUUUAAGGCUGUAGGAAAGCCUGAAGAGUGGGAGAAACCAAAGGAGAAAAGAUAAGGAAAAUACCUUUGGUAUGUUUUGAUUCAAGAAAUAUUGUUUAUAAUUAGUUUUGAAAUCUGAAACAGAUAGCCAAGCACCAUCUUUUAAAUUGCUGUUUGGGUUAAAAAUAAGCCUCCGUUAAUAUUAACUGUAUUAAUGACCUCACAGCACUGAUCUGGUUACCAUAAUUAGUAUUGCAAUGAUAGGCAUUUAAUAUUUUCCUAAUGUCAUGCACCGAGCAGCCCCACGUGACACUGACAAGUUCAAGUAUUUCUCACCAUCUAAUUUAUUGCUGACUAUUUGCAGCCACCAGGGACUUCUGUGCAACAAAUGUUACUGCAUACCCACUAUGUGACUUGGGAGCCACCAGAGUGCUCAUAUCAGGGACACAAACACUUGCUUACUACUUUAAGUAGUAAGCUGUCCUUUGCUUUCCUCUGGAGUCUAGAAGAUCAGAACAGAUUAGGCCUCCUAGAUUACACCCCUAACAGUCAUCAGUAACAAAGGAAGGGAGAAGGUAGCAUGACUGAAAGUGAAAACAAAACACCAACACAAAGUCUCUGCAAAUCCUAAGGACAUGACAACGUUUUAUGUGUGCAUGCAUGUAUGCAUUUAUUCAUCAGAUUACAUGAAGUGUUCCAAAGUAAAAAGAAGACUUUUUUUCCAACCCCCUCAACCCUGCCCCUGUUUUUAACCACAGGAGGCAUGUAUAGAGAGAAUAUCGCUAACAGGUGAUGAACUUUGAGAGAAGAUUUUUCUCAUAUCUGUCAAGAACAAUCCUGUAUUAUUGCAUUAUACUAUGUAUGACAUUACCAUUAAGGAAUGUGAGUGAAAGGUAA
This is a non-coding RNA of Microcebus murinus (gray mouse lemur), 7148 nucleotides long. Lineage: Eukaryota; Metazoa; Chordata; Mammalia; Primates; Cheirogaleidae. The record is from RefSeq and is a predicted model, not a curated record.